This 74-nucleotide transfer RNA is filed under the name Candidatus Altimarinota bacterium. RNAcentral's name for it is "tRNA-Gly". It matches the Rfam family "tRNA". Rfam says of the family: Transfer RNA (tRNA) molecules are approximately 80 nucleotides in length. Their secondary structure includes four short double-helical elements and three loops (D, anti-codon, and T loops). Further hydrogen bonds mediate the characteristic L-shaped molecular structure. tRNAs have two regions of fundamental functional importance: the anti-codon, which is responsible for specific mRNA codon recognition, and the 3' end, to which the tRNAs corresponding amino acid is attached (by aminoacyl-tRNA synthetases). tRNAs cope with the degeneracy of the genetic code in two manners: having more than one tRNA (with a specific anti-codon) for a particular amino acid; and 'wobble' base-pairing, i.e. permitting non-standard base-pairing at the 3rd anti-codon position. RNAcentral also lists the same sequence under 1 other name. The record is from RNAcentral. Lineage: Bacteria; Candidatus Altimarinota.
GCGGGUAUAGUUUAGUGGUAGAACACGUCCUUGCCAUGGAUGAAAUCGGGGUUCGAUUCCCCGUACCCGCUCCA